Molecule: ribosomal RNA, 1047 nt
Filed under: Enterococcus sp. H-VRE-179
Lineage: Bacteria; Bacillati; Bacillota; Bacilli; Lactobacillales; Enterococcaceae
Description: bacterial SSU rRNA
Rfam family: Bacterial small subunit ribosomal RNA
Source: RNAcentral
GCCUAAUACAUGCAAGUCGAACGCUUUUUCUUUCACCGGAGCUUGCUCCAWCGAAAGAAAAAGAGUGGCGAACGGGUGAGUAACACGUGGGUAACCUGCCCAUCAGAAGGGGAUAACACUUGGAAACAGGUGCUAAUACCGUAUAACACUAUUUUCCGCAUGGAAGAAAGUUGAAAGGCGCUUUUGCGUCACUGAUGGAUGGACCCGCGGUGCAUUAGCUAGUUGGUGAGGUAACGGCUCACCAAGGCCACGAUGCAUAGCCGACCUGAGAGGGUGAUCGGCCACACUGGGACUGAGACACGGCCCAGACUCCUACGGGAGGCAGCAGUAGGGAAUCUUCGGCAAUGGACGAAAGUCUGACCGAGCAACGCCGCGUGAGUGAAGAAGGUUUUCGGAUCGUAAAACUCUGUUGUUAGAGAAGAACAAGGAUGAGAGUAGAACGUUCAUCCCUUGACGGUAUCUAACCAGAAAGCCACGGCUAACUACGUGCCAGCAGCCGCGGUAAUACGUAGGUGGCAAGCGUUGUCCGGAUUUAUUGGGCGUAAAGCGAGCGCAGGCGGUUUCUUAAGUCUGAUGUGAAAGCCCCCGGCUCAACCGGGGAGGGUCAUUGGAAACUGGGAGACUUGAGUGCAGAAGAGGAGAGUGGAAUUCCAUGUGUAGCGGUGAAAUGCGUAGAUAUAUGGAGGAACACCAGUGGCGAAGGCGGCUCUCUGGUCUGUAACUGACGCUGAGGCUCGAAAGCGUGGGGAGCGAACAGGAUUAGAUACCCUGGUAGUCCACGCCGUAAACGAUGAGUGCUAAGUGUUGGAGGGUUUCCGCCCUUCAGUGCUGCAGCAAACGCAUUAAGCACUCCGCCUGGGGAGUACGACCGCAAGGUUGAAACUCAAAGGAAUUGACGGGGGCCCGCACAAGCGGUGGAGCAUGUGGUUUAAUUCGAAGCAACGCGAAGAACCUUACCAGGUCUUGACAUCCUUUGACCACUCUAGAGAUAGAGCUUCCCCUUCGGGGGCAAAGUGACAGGUGGGUGCAUGGGUUGUCGUCAGCUUC